GAGGGUGUGGCUCAGUGGCAGAGUGCUUGCCUAGCAUGUGUGAGGCCCUGGGUUCCAUCUCCAGCACUGUCC
RNAcentral lists this transfer RNA (72 nucleotides) under Heterocephalus glaber (naked mole-rat). It matches the Rfam family "tRNA". From Rfam's summary of the family: Transfer RNA (tRNA) molecules are approximately 80 nucleotides in length. Their secondary structure includes four short double-helical elements and three loops (D, anti-codon, and T loops). The record is from Rfam by way of RNAcentral. Lineage: Eukaryota; Metazoa; Chordata; Mammalia; Rodentia; Bathyergidae.